UUAUUUAGUCAUAGAAUUGAGUGUGAAAUAUAAUCACUUUUACAUGAAAUUUUUUUCAAACACGUCAAUAUACUUUAUUGCACGUGCCAAUAUACUUUAUUGCACGUGCCAUUUAUAUGUGCUAAACCAAUUUAUACCUAUUAAAAAUUCCAAAAUCAAUUAAAAAAUCAAGUAAAAACCCAUGUUUGGACCAAAUCGGAUCUUGAUCAAUCCAAAUCAGCCCAAACCUAAAUCUAUCUUCUCCCUUCUCCCCGAUUGUGCACAGCCCUUCCCUCUAUUUUUUUUUUUUUUGAUCCCUCUAUUUUUUUUUUUUUUUUUAUCACUAGCUUGUGUCUAGCCAGCGCUGACUUCUCUCUCUCCCCACUUUCUACCCCUCCCACUCCACUUUUUGAUUGAUCCAAACCUGUCGCCAUUGCCUCUUCACCAUUCUCUCCCUCUCCACUUUCAACCUAUGUAGUGCAGCAGUGGGGGAGGUGCUGAGCUGCAAAAAAUUGAUUUUAGGAAUUUUAAAAAUUCAAAAUCAAAAUUUCAGAAAUUUUAUCGUAAAGAAAUUAAGGAGGAGAAGAAAAGAAAAUUGAAAAGAAGAGGAAUAGAGAGAGAAAAAUAAAGAGAGAAAAUUGAAAAGGAGAGGAGUAGAGAGAGAGGAAAACGAAGGACAUAAUAG
This 664-nucleotide long non-coding RNA is filed under the name Jatropha curcas. Its description in RNAcentral is "long non-coding RNA (JCUR_LNC000952)". The record is from RNAcentral. Lineage: Eukaryota; Viridiplantae; Streptophyta; Magnoliopsida; Malpighiales; Euphorbiaceae.